RNAcentral lists this ribosomal RNA (268 nucleotides) under uncultured prokaryote. RNAcentral describes it as "partial 16S ribosomal RNA". It matches the Rfam family "Bacterial small subunit ribosomal RNA", at positions 524 to 792 of the family's 1533-position model. The record is from RNAcentral.
UACAGAGGGUGCAAGCGUUAAUCGGAAUUACUGGGCGUAAAGCGUGCGUAGGCGGUAGAUAUAGUCAGAUGUGAAAGCCCGGGCUCAACCUGGGAAUUGCAUCUGAUACUGAUUUACUAGAGUAUGGCAGAGGAUAGUGGAAUUUCUGGUGUAGCGGUGAAAUGCGUAGAUAUCAGAAGGAACACCAGUGGCGAAGGCGACUGUCUGGGCCAAUACUGACGCUGAGGUACGAAAGCGUGGGUAGCGAACAGGAUUAGAUACCCCGGUA